CGGCCUGCCCCGCGGCAAGAUGGCGGCGUGAAGGCAGCGGGCAGCGGCGGAAACUCCGGAGUUGGGCUGCUCUCAACCAAGCUGUCUGUUUAUAUGGAGUGCCUGGAGGGCGUCUGCCAUGAGUCUGUCGCUAUCCGUGCUAACCAGGAGAGCUGGCUGGUGGGGGAGAAGACACUAACCCUGUG
RNAcentral lists this long non-coding RNA (185 nucleotides) under Neogale vison (American mink). RNAcentral's name for it is "Neovison vison (American mink) lncRNA (ENSNVIG00000010250.1)". The record is from RNAcentral. Lineage: Eukaryota; Metazoa; Chordata; Mammalia; Carnivora; Mustelidae.